AACAGAAUCAUUUAGCUUGGUGAAAUUACGUUCGUAGUGUGUCAAAUAACCCACUUCUCUUUGAAUAGGAGCAAAAACAUAUGGUACUACGCUUCCAACAAUAGAAAUGAUGGCAUCCAUUGGGCAGGUAAAAUACUUGCAGAAACUGGUAUCAGUGUCCGUUCUUUAUGACUUGUGUUGAGACUGAAAGCAAUUGAGAAACACUAUUUUAGAUUAGGAAAAUAUGAUGUUAAAAGUCAAGGACAAUUCACAAGAAAAAGAAUGCGCUAUGUAUAUAAUAUAUAAAAGUGUUUUACUUUUUUCAAUCCAAACAAUGGGUCCAAGACAGUAAAACGUUCAUUCACACAAACACUUAAAUAAAUAAAAAUUCAAUUCAUAAUUUAGAAAGUCCCGGCCAAAAAUCUCAAAGUCUCUUCGAGGUGAACAAUUUUUUUUUUUUGUUACCAUGGUAUAUGUACGAAGUUUUCACUGCUAUUAACGAUUACUAAUUUCUGUCAAAAAAUUGUGGGGAAAACAUGGUGAGUUCUCUCCUCUCAAUCGAAUUAUUUCUAUAGGUAGGAGUCAUAAAUCAAACUUUUGACCACAUUCUUAAAGAGUCCAAAACUCUUACUUUUAAUCAAAUCUUAUGUACUUUCAAAUUUUUUAAUGAUUUUUUGUAUUCAUGUUUAUAAUAUUAUAAGUUCGAUCACUAAGGACCGACACCAACCAUUAACAGAGGUCCAAUUAAAGUCAGAGUUUUUGUUUUGUAUGUAGGGGUGUUUGUGAUGCAGUUUGGAUAUUCUGAGGUUAAAACUCAUGAUGUGAUCCAAAAACAAAAUUACUCAUGGUUUGGUUCGGAAUUAGAUGACUUCUUAAAAAAAUUGAUUUGAUCUGGUCCAAUUUAGCGUGGUUUAAUUCCAAAUUAUCAAUUACAUUUUUUUAAUUAAAUAUUAAUAUUAUUAAAAUACGGUAAAAUAAUAAGUUAAUUUGAUGUAAAAUAUACAUAUAAUCAAUACAUUAAAAAUUAAUAUUAAUAUUAUAAAUGACAAUGAUCGAUUACCUUCAAAACAUAUGAAACUAUAAAAGAAAAAAUAGAUUAAAUUGAACUAACAAGUAUUAUUUAAAAAUUAAAAAGAUCUAGUCACACUCUAAAAUCUGAGGCCUUCACCACGGAAGAAGUCAAAUUUAAGAUAUUAAAAAGAGCACACUCUAAAAUCUCAAGCCUUUACCAUAACGGAACAAAACGUUUAUAAUGGUUUGGAAAAUGAUUGUAUGGUUUAAAAUUGUAUUUAAACUUUAAAAAAAAANNNNNNNNNNNNNNNNNNNNNNNNNNNNAAAAAAAGAACAAAUUAGUACCUCUAGUCACUAGUUGCAGAAAAUCCAGACAAUUUUGAAUCUGUUUUCUUCAACUUCUUUUCCUUCAGUUUAUACUUUAUAUGAGCUGAAAAACAAGAAAUUAUAAUUAGGAAUUGAAGGGAGGAAUGUCAAGAAUCAAACUAUCAGAGAAACUCUGCCGACAAAUUUUAUACCUUUUUUCUGUUUUUUGUGGUUAGAUGAGCUGAAGAGUACUUGAUGGAAUUUAAAGCUAAAGUAAGCUAUGAAGACACUGAAAAUUGAAACUGAAAAAGCUAACAAUCGAAGACUCAAACUAAAAGAGAAAUAAAAUUGCAACGUUUUUUUUUUUUUUUUUUAUGGGGUUAUAUGAGCCUAGAAAUCAUAUUUUAGACAAAAUUUGACAUCAAUUUCAAUAACUCCCUCCGUAUAAUAAUACAAGUUGUUUUAACCAAAUUACACAAAUUAAU
This 1781-nucleotide long non-coding RNA is filed under the name Trifolium pratense (red clover). Its description in RNAcentral is "long non-coding RNA (TPRA_LNC012477)". The record is from RNAcentral. Lineage: Eukaryota; Viridiplantae; Streptophyta; Magnoliopsida; Fabales; Fabaceae.